UACGUAGGGGGCAAGCGUUGUCCGGAAUUAUUGGGCGUAAAGGGCGCGCAGGCGGUCUUCUAAGUCUGAUGUGAAAUCCCACGGCUUAACCGUGGAAGGUCAUUGGAAACUGGAGGACUUGAGUGCAGAAGAGGAGAGUGGAAUUCCAUGUGUAGCGGUGAAAUGCGUAGAGAUAUGGAGGAACACCAGUGGCGAAGGCGACUCUCUGGUUUGCAACUGACGCUGAGGCGCGAAAGUGUGGGUAGCGAACAGG
RNAcentral lists this ribosomal RNA (253 nucleotides) under uncultured bacterium. Its description in RNAcentral is "partial 16S ribosomal RNA". It matches the Rfam family "Bacterial small subunit ribosomal RNA", at positions 524 to 776 of the family's 1533-position model. The record is from RNAcentral.